AAACAGUUUUUCAUUUCUUUCCUGCAAUAAGUUAGCAUGUUUAUUUCAUAUUUUCAAUAAAAUAAAGCUGGAGAGUCUAGUGGUACCAGUUAAAACAAAACUCUAGAAAAGGCCACUAAGUUAUGGAAAGGGCAUACCCAUUAUUUACAACACCAAUUACACUAGUACAAUAGGCAAUCCAGCCUACGGAAGAAAAUAUGAUGUAUUCUCAAAUAUAUUGCAACAAAAUUAAAGUAAUCAAUGGUUUUCACACUGCUCGUAAUUAUCAGUAAAUCAGUUGACAUGCAAACUAUGAGUCAAUUACAAUUCUUUACAUUGAAGCAUGAAUAAUACAGGCAAAAUAUCAGAGAAACUUUGUGGCUACCUGAAGAUCCAUCAUAGCCAUGU
This 387-nucleotide unclassified non-coding RNA is filed under the name Hevea brasiliensis (rubber tree). Lineage: Eukaryota; Viridiplantae; Streptophyta; Magnoliopsida; Malpighiales; Euphorbiaceae. The record is from RNAcentral.